ACAAAUGUGAUUUUGUGUGCUUCGAUCUAUAAAUACAGUUAUGGUCGAUGACACUUGAGAGAAUAACAAAGUGACAAUGAAGAAAACAACACAAGUGUUUCUUCUUCUUUUACGUUUGAUGCUUCUUAUAUGCCUAGUCUUUCAGGUUCGUGUCACAGAGGCUAGAUUCCGCCACCUAGGCGAGGAACGGAUUGGCGCAAUACCCUCCAUUCCAUGUGGAGCUGCUCCUAGAAGAAGUGAAGUUACAGGAAUAAUGAACAGGCUCUGUAGGAUUUCAAGACCUCCGGGUGUUAAUUAGUAAUCUCCGUCCAAGAGACAGCAACGUUUAAAUAUGAACCACGAAUAAAAUCUCUACUGUUCAGAAGUUUUUUUUCUCUUUCAUUCAUUCCAAAUAAUUGUUUCACGUUUUGCUAAAGACUAUAUAUCGUUCCAAAUAAUUGUUUCACGUUUUGUUAAAGACUCGCUUAGCUGAGAUACA
Long non-coding RNA from Brassica oleracea var. oleracea, 478 nucleotides. RefSeq lists it as uncharacterized. The record is from RefSeq and is a predicted model, not a curated record. NCBI's taxonomy places the organism in Eukaryota, Viridiplantae, Streptophyta, Magnoliopsida, Brassicales, Brassicaceae. The transcript is spliced from 2 exons.